UCUCCUUUUUUUUCACCUCACUCUCUCUUUCACCUUUGCCUUUCUUCCUCUCUCUCUCUCCCUCUUUCUUCUUGCCCUGUUCUUCCGCUCUGCCCAACUCGUUCUUCACUUCUAUUUUUCCGUCUUUUUGAACUUCUUUCUUUCACGUUUUCUCUUUUUUCCUUUCCGUUUCCUCCCUCAGUCUCUUUUAUGCACCUUUAUCGUUUCCCCCCUAUCGAUCUCUCUCUCUUUCUUUUCUUUUUCUGCCUCAUUUUAUUCUUACUCUAAUUUUUCCAUCUCUUUUCUCUCUCAUCUCUCUUUCAUUCUACGCCUGUCCUUCCCUUUUUCUUACUUUCUCUCUUUUCAUUUCCCCCAUCCUUUUUUCUUAUUCUCCUCCACUUUCUAAUUCGUUUCCCUCUGUCCCACUGUUACGCACCUCUAUCCUCUCUCCCGCUAUCUCUCUUUCUUUCUUUUCCUUUUCUACCACUCUCCCCAUGUUACUCUUGUUAUUAUUUCUCCAUUGCCAUGUUUGUUUUAUGUUUCUCACUUUAUCUUUUUUAAUCAUCUCUCCCUUUAUUUGUCGUCCCUUUAAACCCCCCCUGUGCUUUCCCUUCAUCUAUCUCUCUCUCCGUCUUUUUUUUUUUUAGCAAUUUAAUAUUUCCCUUUAUCUCACUUUCUUUUUUCCCCUCUUUUCAGUCGCCCUCCAUUCCUGUCUUAUCCUCUUCACCUUUUCCGAUCUUUCUCUCUCUACCUCCUUUACACACUCAUCUUUUUCUUCCUCUCUCUCACCUUCUCUCUUCCUUCUGUCGUUUUCCUACCUCUCCUCCAUUUAUCCCUCUCUUAUUUUCUGUUAUCACUGUUUAUCUCUCUUUCAUUCUUCAUCUCCAUCUCUCAUUCUUUUCUCCCCUUGUCUUUCCUCGCUCUCUCUAAUCCUCUCUCCGAUUUUCUGUUUUUUAUUUAUUCUCUAUUAUCUUUCUUUCUCUCUCUCUCCUGCUCCCUCUUUUAUUUACUCUUAUUUUCUCCCCCAUGUCUCCUUAUAUUCCUCUCCCCCAUCAUCAUCCUCUCUUCCCCCACUGAUGCGCUGAUGUGUACAGCACAAAGCCAGACAUCAUGUCCUCAUCA
Molecule: long non-coding RNA, 1101 nt
Organism: Ictalurus punctatus (channel catfish)
Lineage: Eukaryota; Metazoa; Chordata; Actinopteri; Siluriformes; Ictaluridae
Source: Ensembl